GCUUCUCUGAUCUGACAUUUUCGUAGUUACCAAGUUCCCUCAGAUGAAGGAAGGGAGAACCCUAAUCUGAAGAGGGGAGGUCUGAAGUGGACAGGAACAGUAUCAAGGAGACCACAGGAGGCAAAACAUUAAAAGUUGAAGAAACAGCAUAAAUAACAGAAGACUGAAACUAAGCUGAUUGGAUCAAGGACAGACACCUGACCAAGGACAGUCACGCUGUGCUUUAUGUCCCGGCAGAAAAAGGCUCUGAUUUGUAUCCUAAAGGAGUAGUCCAACGGAAAUAGGCAAAUGCCAGCAAUGGGAGAAGAAUUAGACUCCACUUCUUGAUGAGAGAGUGAGAGAAGAACCUGAAACAAGGGCUUUAUGCAUAUGUUGCUAAAUCCAGUGGGACCAUCUGAGAAACCAUAUAAAAUGCAUAUCAGGUCUGUCCAUCCCAGGAGAGAAAGGUAUUGAUUCACAGAAUAGAAGAUGAUGAAUAAAUGUUUCUUCUGGAUUAAAGCCUCUAUUUCUGAAA
Molecule: long non-coding RNA, 514 nt
Organism: Homo sapiens (human)
Lineage: Eukaryota; Metazoa; Chordata; Mammalia; Primates; Hominidae
Source: Ensembl